Molecule: ribosomal RNA, 497 nt
Filed under: uncultured bacterium
Lineage: Bacteria
Description: partial 16S ribosomal RNA
Rfam family: Bacterial small subunit ribosomal RNA
Source: RNAcentral
GAUGAACGCUGGCGGCGUGCCUAAUACAUGCAAGUCGAGCGAACAGACGAGGAGCUUGCUCCUCUGACGUUAGCGGCGGACGGGUGAGUAACACGUGGAUAACCUACCUAUAAGACUGGGAUAACUUCGGGAAACCGGAGCUAAUACCGGAUAAUAUAUUGAACCGCAUGGUUCAAUAGUGAAAGGCGGUUUUGCUGUCACUUAUAGAUGGAUCCGCGCCGCAUUAGCUAGUUGGUAAGGCAACGGCUUACCAAGGCAACGAUGCGUAGCCGACCUGAGAGGGUGAUCGGCCACACUGGAACUGAGACACGGUCCAGACUCCUACGGGAGGCAGCAGUAGGGAAUCUUCCGCAAUGGGCGAAAGCCUGACGGAGCAACGCCGCGUGAGUGAUGAAGGUCUUCGGAUCGUAAAACUCUGUUAUUAGGGAAGAACAAAUGUGUAAGUAACUAUGCACGUCUUGACGGUACCUAAUCAGAAAGCCACGGCUAACUACGUG